RNAcentral lists this transfer RNA (87 nucleotides) under Candidatus Shapirobacteria bacterium. RNAcentral describes it as "tRNA-Leu". It matches the Rfam family "tRNA". From Rfam's summary of the family: Transfer RNA (tRNA) molecules are approximately 80 nucleotides in length. Their secondary structure includes four short double-helical elements and three loops (D, anti-codon, and T loops). Lineage: Bacteria; Candidatus Shapironibacteriota. The record is from RNAcentral.
GCCAGGGUGUUGGAAUUGGUAGACAAGCGUCGCUCAGAACGGCGUAUCCCUUAUACGGAUGUGCGGGUUCGACUCCCGCCCUUGGCA